This 274-nucleotide ribosomal RNA is filed under the name uncultured bacterium. RNAcentral describes it as "partial 16S ribosomal RNA". It matches the Rfam family "Bacterial small subunit ribosomal RNA", at positions 523 to 796 of the family's 1533-position model. The record is from RNAcentral.
AUACGGAGGGGGCAAGCGUUGUUCGGAAUUACUGGGCGUAAAGAGUACGUAGGCGGAUCGUUAAGUUAGAGGUGAAAUCCCAGGGCUCAGCCCUGGAACUGCCUUUAAUACUGGCGAUCUAGAGAUCGAGAGAGGUGAGUGGAAUUUCCAGUGUAGAGGUGAAAUUCGUAGAUAUUGGAAAGAACACCAGUGGCGAAGGCGGCUCACUGGCUCGAUACUGACGCUGAGGUACGAAAGCGUGGGGAGCAAACAGGAUUAGAAACCCUAGUAGUCC